UUAUUUGAAAGGCGGAAGGUCGGUGGCAAGUUUAAUUGGCGGAGUGGUUCACCUAGCUACGACGACAGAUAUCGGUAGUUCAGCGUUGAAACUUUGCGACAACAAACUCGGUAAGACGAUUUCUUUCAAUGGAUACCACGUAGUGCUAGGACUACGCGCGACUGUUCAUCCUUAAGAAGGUCAACGACCCUUGCCCGUGCAGUCUGUACACCGUCCGGCGAAUUUUAUUCAUUUUUAUUUGCUCAAAUUCGCCUUGGCUCGGUUUUAUCCGCCACUCGCUUCCCCGUCAGUGGGGGGUGGGACCGUCUGCGUGAGCAAUCGCAGGCCGUCAUUUGGGCAAUUUACACUUAAGGACCCAUUGCAGCCCAGAAUUCCCCUUGAAAUCCUGAGUAGAGCAUGCUGCAGUCAAAUCUCACCUGAAGCGCACAGGUAUCGUCUUGAGACUGACCCCAUACCGCAGCGAUUACGCUACGGUCAAAGGCUCUUUUAAUUGUUUUUCUUUUUUUAAUGGAUGUACCCGGAUGUGGAAUCGAACUCGGGGUCAAGUUGUUAGUACAGUAGUACUACUAACUGACGCCUUAUCCGACUACCCUACCCGUUCCCCUAUGGCAAUGUUAAUCCGCUAGAUGGCUAUGUCGUCUGCUACCAACAGUUUAAAGUGUCAAACAACAACAAACAAACUUUUAUUAAAUAAACUACUCGAAACCAUAUUCUCUUUCGUAUAAGCUUUUAUGAUUUAAUAUUAAUUUAAUCAGUUGAGAUUAGUUGCCGUUUAAUUAUUCAGAAUACUCCACUGUCAAUUACAAUUUACAGUAAUCAUCAAAAAUUGUAAUGCAAUCAUUGUGAAGUUAACCAUCUUGGCUGGAAUAAUAUCUGGGUUAACGCGAAAUCCUCCCAUGGGAUGGGUUUUGGUGUAAUACAGACUGCAAAAAUGAUCCCGAAAACUGCAAUAUUAGUGAAAACUUUUAUGGAAAUGGCUGCCAUCAAAGUAUCUGAAGGAUAUUUAAGUACUGGUUUCAAUAUAAUAUCAUUGGAUGAAUGUUGCCUUGAUCAUAAUCGCUCAGAGAAUGGGCAAUUCAAGCUGAUGCCUCAAGUGGAAUCAAAGCUGCCUUGCUGACUAUUUUCAUUCGAAAGGUUUACAAUUUGGAAUGUAUUGAAAACUACUGAAGUAACGGAACUUUAACGACAUCGAUGAUUUGUGGGACGUGGGUCAAGCAUCAUUGAUUAUUAUGGUGACAAGCAUGAUAGUUUGAUCCUGGUUGCUGGACCUGGCCACUGGAAUGAUCCUGAAAUCAUUGUGAAUAUGGUUAUACUUAACCUUAGCGAAUAUUCUCUAAUUGUGUUCCAAAAUGAUUCCUUGAAUUCUUUUCUUCUUCAUUUUGACCGAUUUGAACACGAAACCAUAGACAACCGAUCCGAUGGUUUCUCGUAAUAAUAACUUAAACUUACUUAA
Molecule: long non-coding RNA, 1453 nt
Organism: Daphnia pulicaria
Lineage: Eukaryota; Metazoa; Arthropoda; Branchiopoda; Diplostraca; Daphniidae
Exons: 4
Source: RefSeq, a predicted model, not a curated record